This 496-nucleotide ribosomal RNA is filed under the name uncultured bacterium. RNAcentral's name for it is "partial 16S ribosomal RNA". It matches the Rfam family "Bacterial small subunit ribosomal RNA", at positions 28 to 506 of the family's 1533-position model. The record is from RNAcentral.
GAUGAACGCUGGCGGCGUGCCUAAUACAUGCAAGUCGAGCGAACAGACGAGGAGCUUGCUCCUCUGACGUUAGCGGCGGACGGGUGAGUAACACGUGGAUAACCUACCUAUAAGACUGGGAUAACUUCGGGAAACCGGAGCUAAUACCGGAUAAUAUAUUGAACCGCAUGGUUCAAUAGUGAAAGACGGUUUUGCUGUCACUUAUAGAUGGAUCCGCGCCGCAUUAGCUAGUUGGUAAGGUAACGGCUUACCAAGGCAACGAUGCGUAGCCGACCUGAGAGGGUGAUCGGCCACACUGGAACUGAGACACGGUCCAGACUCCUACGGGAGGCAGCAGUAGGGAAUCUUCCGCAAUGGGCGAAAGCCUGACGGAGCAACGCCGCGUGAGUGAUGAAGGUCUGCGGAUCGUAAAACGCUGUUAUUAGGGAAGAACAAAUGUGUAAGUAACUAUGCACGUCUGGACGGUACCUAAGCAGAAAGCCACGGCUAACUACGG